CUGCGGCCAUUCCGGGAUGAGCGACGGAGUCACGGUGGCCGCGGACUGACUGGCACGACCUCCAUCGCACCGUGCGGAGCCCGCCGGCCGCCGCACGGCCCCUAGAACGGGAGAGAACGCUGAGCGUUACGAC
This is a regulatory RNA element of Corynebacterium frankenforstense DSM 45800, 133 nucleotides long. It matches the Rfam family "atpB RNA". The record is from Rfam. NCBI's taxonomy places the organism in Bacteria, Bacillati, Actinomycetota, Actinomycetes, Mycobacteriales, Corynebacteriaceae.